GCGAAUGCUGACAUAAGUAACGAUAAAGCGGGUGAAAAGCCCGCUCGCCGGAAGACCAAGGGUUCCUGUCCAACGUUAAUCGGGGCAGGGUGAGUCGACCCCUAAGGCGAGGCCGAAAGGCGUAGUCGAUGGGAAACAGGUUAAUAUUCCUGUACUUGGUGUUACUGCGAAGGGGGGACGGAGAAGGCUAUGUUGGCCGGGCGACGGUUGUCCCGGUUUAAGCGUGUAGGCUGGUUUUCCAGGCAAAUCCGGAAAAUCAAGGCUGAGGCGUGAUGACGAGGCACUACGGUGCUGAAGCAACAAAUGCCCUGCUUCCAGGAAAAGCCUCUAAGCAUCAGGUAACAUCAAAUCGUACCCCAAACCGACACAGGUGGUCAGGUAGAGAAUACCAAGGCGCUUGAGAGAACUCGGGUGAAGGAACUAGGCAAAAUGGUGCCGUAACUUCGGGAGAAGGCACGCUGAUAUGUAGGUGAAGUCCCUCGCGGAUGGAGCUGAAAUCAGUCGAAGAUACCAGCUGGCUGCAACUGUUUAUUAAAAACACAGCACUGUGCAAACACGAAAGUGGACGUAUACGGUGUGACGCCUGCCCGGUGCCGGAAGGUUAAUUGAUGGGGUUAGCGGUAACGCGAAGCUCUUGAUCGAAGCCCCGGUAAACGGCGGCCGUAACUAUAACGGUCCUAAGGUAGCGAAAUUCCUUGUCGGGUAAGUUCCGACCUGCACGAAUGGCGUAAUGAUGGCCAGGCUGUCUCCACCCGAGACUCAGUGAAAUUGAACUCGCUGUGAAGAUGCAGUGUACCCGCGGCAAGACGGAAAGACCCCGUGAACCUUUACUAUAGCUUGACACUGAACAUUGAGCCUUGAUGUGUAGGAUAGGUGGGAGGCUUUGAAGUGUGGACGCCAGUCUGCAUGGAGCCGGCCUUGAAAUACCACCCUUUAAUGUUUGAUGUUCUAACGUUGGCCCCUGAUCGGGGUUGCGGACAGUGUCUGGUGGGUAGUUUGACUGGGGCGGUCUCCUCCUAAAGAGUAACGGAGGAGCACGAAGGUUGGCUAAUCCUGGUCGGACAUCAGGAGGUUAGUGCAAUGGCAUAAGCCAGCUUGACUGCGAGCGUGACGGCGCGAGCAGGUGCGAAAGCAGGUCAUAGUGAUCCGGUGGUUCUGAAUGGAAGGGCCAUCGCUCAACGGAUAAAAGGUACUCCGGGGAUAACAGGCUGAUACCGCCCAAGAGUUCAUAUCGACGGCGGUGUUUGGCACCUCGAUGUCGGCUCAUCACAUCCUGGGGCUGAAGUAGGUCCCAAGGGUAUGGCUGUUCGCCAUUUAAAGUGGUACGCGAGCUGGGUUUAGAACGUCGUGAGACAGUUCGGUCCCUAUCUGCCGUGGGCGCUGGAGAACUGAGGGGGGCUGCUCCUAGUACGAGAGGACCGGAGUGGACGCAUCACUGGUGUUCGGGUUGUCAUGCCAAUGGCACUGCCCGGUAGCUAAAUGCGGAAGAGAUAAGUGCUGAAAGCAUCUAAGCACGAAACUUGCCCCGAGAUGAGUUCUCCCUGACUCCUUGAGAGUCCUGAAGGAACGUUGAAGACGACGACGUUGAUAGGCCGGGUGUGUAAGCGCAGCGAUGCGUUGAGCUAACCGGUACUAAUGAACCGUGAGGCUUAACCUU
Molecule: ribosomal RNA, 1657 nt
Filed under: Escherichia coli BIDMC 17B
Lineage: Bacteria; Pseudomonadati; Pseudomonadota; Gammaproteobacteria; Enterobacterales; Enterobacteriaceae
Description: bacterial LSU rRNA
Rfam family: Bacterial large subunit ribosomal RNA
Source: RNAcentral